This 440-nucleotide ribosomal RNA is filed under the name uncultured bacterium. RNAcentral's name for it is "partial 16S ribosomal RNA". It matches the Rfam family "Bacterial small subunit ribosomal RNA", at positions 338 to 795 of the family's 1533-position model. The record is from RNAcentral.
CCUACGGGAGGCAGCAGUGGGGAAUAUUGCACAAUGGGGGAAACCCUGAUGCAGCAACGCCGCGUGAGUGAAGAAGUCAUUCGUGAUGUAAAGCUCUAUCAGCAGGGAAGAAAAUGACGGUACCUGACUAAGAAGCCCCGGCUAACUACGUGCCAGCAGCCGCGGUAAUACGUAGGGGGCAAGCGUUAUCCGGAUUUACUGGGUGUAAAGGGAGCGUAGACGGCGACGCAAGUCUGAAGUGAAAUGCCAGUGCUCAACACUGGAACUGCUUUGGAAACUGUGUGGCUAGAGUGCAGGAGAGGUAAGUGGAAUUCCUAGUGUAGCGGUGAAAUGCGUAGAUAUUAGGAGGAACACCAGUGGCGAAGGCGGCUUACUGGACUGUAACUGACGUUGAGGCUCGAAGGCGUGGGGAGCAAACAGGAUUAGAUACCCCAGUAGUC